Molecule: ribosomal RNA, 253 nt
Filed under: uncultured bacterium
Lineage: Bacteria
Description: partial 16S ribosomal RNA
Rfam family: Bacterial small subunit ribosomal RNA
Source: RNAcentral
UACAGAGGUCUCAAGCGUUGUUCGGAUUCAUUGGGCGUAAGGAGCGUGUAGGCGGCCUGGAAGGUCAGCUGUGAAAACUCGAGGCUCAACCUCGAGACGUCGGUUGAAACCACCUGGCUAGAGUCCGGAAGAGGAGUGUGGAAUUCCUGGUGUAGCGGUGAAAUGCGCAGAUAUCAGGAGGAACACCGGUGGCGAAGGCGGAUCUCUGGGCCUUACCUGACGCUCAGGUGCGAAAGCUAGGGGAGCGAACAGG